GUAUUUAGUGUGGCACUACUUUAUGCAACAUUAUAUGUUUGGCUUGGAGUAUAGAUUCACCUGAUUCAAUGAAGGUUACAGACAGUAAGUAACUUGCAAGCAUGAAUUUUUUCCACCAUUAAAUAUACUCCUUUUUUCCUAUGUUUACAUGCCACCACAUAUUUAUGGGUUCAACUUUUGACCAACUAAUCGUGGGUUAGUUCAUAAAAAUUAUACCAUUGAAUUUAUAUUAUAAAAUAGUUUCUAGUAGUAUAUAUAUUUUCUGACAUGUGAAUCAUCUAUUAUUGGUCAAUGUUCAAACACAAAACCCGAGGGCGCCAUGUAAAUAGAGACGGAGGUAGUAGUUAUUAGUUUUCGCAAUGUAUACAGUUUUAAACUAUUAGUUUCUUUUAAGAAUUGAUGCGUACGCGUUCAAUUGAUGUCGCGAAUUCAACAAGUGCUUUGAUGUCUCUGUCUACAAGUUUGUGAGUUAGAUUGGUUCAGUAAAUGGCCUAAACUGUUUGAAUUAAUUAGCACUUUGACCAUCGUGUUUGUUCAGCCUUCAAGGUGAUUAGCACUCAGCUAACUAUUGGAAAGAUGUUGGUACCUUGUUUUUUCAAGCUCUGAAGACAUGCACAUUCAAGAAUAGGUAUGGCUACAUGCUUUCUAUAUCUGUCAGCUUCAUAAAUCAUUUUGGAGGGGUGCCUCUUAUUGGAGAGGUCUGGUAUGCAUAUUUAACCAAAGAAAACAUAAAUUUUUGAUAUAAUAAAGAUUGAUGAAAAUUUGGACUUUAGACUAUAUCAGGGACAAUUUUAAUGAUAAAUUAUAGGAUGUUUGUAUCUUGGGGACAUCUUCAUGCCAACUUACGUUUAAUAUUAAGAUAUGUCCCCUCAUGUGCCAGUUUUUGUUAGAAGUUCAUGAUCUGUUCUUAGUUCCAGCAUGUUUUUUCACAUUUCUGUAGAGUUUUGAGUAUAACUUAAAGUUCUAGAUGCAUAUAAGCUUCUGAGCUAACUCAAGCUCACUUGAUGGUUCUAAAAAAAUUCUGCAAAAAUAUGACCAUGACAACAAGAUAAAUGGAGGUUCAGAGGCAGAGUGGAUGCCUGCACCAACAACUUUAUAAAUUAAACUACGUUUUGCUAGAUGACUCAAAUUUUUGAAUGUGAGCAUCAUGUUUUGGGAAUGCAAUUAACAAUUGAAUCAAGUGAAGCUGAAAGCAAGAGAUCUACUGCUCAAUAUGGAAUUUAAUUCCUUUCUUGCAAAAGCACUAGAGAUGAGUGAGGAGAUUAUUCAAUAUUGGAUUUAAUUCCUUUCUUGUACCCAUGGUCGAUAUAUUGUUCCAUACUGCUGUUGGGGAACAUAGUAAUUUCAAAAAAAUUCCUACGCACACGCAAGAUCAUGGUGAUGCAUAACAACAAGACGGGAGAGUGUGUCCACGUAACCUCGUAGACCGAAAGUGGAAGCGUUAGCACAAUGCGGUUGAUGUAGUCGUACGUCUUCACGAUCCGACCGAUCAAGUACCGAACGCACAGCACCUCCGAGUUCAGCACACGUUCAGCUCGAUGACGUCCCUCGAACUCCAAUCAAGCCGAGCUUUGAGGGAGAGUUUCGUCAGCACGACGGCGUGGUGGCAAUGAUGAUGUUCUACGGACGCAGGGCUUCGCCUAAGCACCACUACGAUAUUAUCGAGGUGGAUUAUGGUGGAGGGGGGCACCGCACACGACUAAGAGAUCCAAUGGAUCAAUUGUUGUGUCUAUGGGGUGCCCCCUCCCCCGUAUAUAAAGGAGUGGAGGAGGGGCCUGGCCAGGAGGAGGAGGCGCGCCCAAGGGGGGAGUCCUACUCCCAUCGGGAGUAGGACUCCUCCUUUUCCUAUUUGGAGAGGGAGAGGGAAGGAAGAGGAAGGAGGGAGAAAGGAAAGGGGGGCCGGCCCCCUCCCAAUUCGGAUUGGGCUUGGGGGGGGCGCCCCCUCCCUUGCUCCUUUCCCCUCCUUUCCACUAAAGCCCAUUAAGGCCCAUAUACCUCCCGGGGGUUUCGAUAACCUCCCGGAGCUCCGGUAUUGUCCCAAUCUCACCCGGAACCAUUCCGAUGUCCAAAUAUAGUCGUCCAAUAUAUCGAUCUUUAUGUCUCGACCAUUUGGAGACUCCUCGUCAUGUUCGUGAUCACAUCCGGGACUCUGAACUAUCUUCGGUACAUCAAAACACAUAAUUUCAUAAUAUAACCGUCAUCGAACUUUAAGCGUGCGGACCCUACGGGUUCGAGAACUAUGUAGACAUGACCGAGACUCGUCUCCGGUCAAUAACCAAUAGCGGAACCUAGAUUCUCAUAUUGGCUCUCACAUAUUCUACGAAGAUCUUUAUCGGUCAAACCGCAUAACAACAUACGUUGUUCCCUUUGUCAUCGGUAAGUUACUUGCCCGAGAUUCGAUCAUCGGUAUCUCAAUACCUAGUUCAAUCUCGUUACUGGCAAGUCUCUUUACUCGUUAUGUAAUGUAUCAUCCCGCGACUAACUCAUUAGCUACAUUGCUUGCAAGGCUUAUAGUGAUGUACAUUACCGAGAGGGCCCAGAGAUACCUCUUCAACAAUCGGAGUGACAAAUCCUAAUCUCGAAAUACACCAAGUCAACAUGUACCUUCGGAGACACUUAUAGAGAUCCUUUAUAAUCACCCAGUUACAUUGUGACAUUUGGUAGAACACAAAGUGUUCCUCCGGUAAACGGGAGUUGCAUAAUCUCAUAGUUGUAGGAACAUGUAUAAGUCAUGAAGAAAGCAAUAGCAACAUACUAAAACGAUCAAGUGCUAAGGUAACGAAAUGGGUCAAGUCAAUCACAUCAUUCUCCUAAUGAUGUGAUCCCGUUAAUCAAAUGACAACUCAUGUCUAUGGUUAGGAAAUACAACCAUCUUUGAUCAACGAGCUAGUCAAGUAGAGGCAUACUAGUGACACUAUGUUUGUCUAUGUAUUCACACAUGUAUUAUGUUUUCGGUUAAUACAAUUCUAGCAUGAAUAAUAAACAUUUAUCAUGAUAUAAGGAAAUAAAUAAUAACUUAUUAUUGCCUCUAGGGCAUAUUUUUCCUUCAGUCUCCCACUUGCACUAGGGUCAAUAAUCUAGAUUACACAGUAAUGAUCCUAACACCCAUGGAGCCUUAGUGCUGAUCAUGUUUUGCUCGUGGAAGAGGCUUAGUCAACGGGUCUGCAACAUUCAGAUCCAUAUGUAUCUUGCAAAUUUCUAUGUCUCCCACCUGGACUUGGUCCCGUAUGGAAUUGAAGUAUCUCUUGGUGUGCUUGGUUCUGUCGUGAAAUCUGGAUUCCUUUGCCAAGGCAAUUGCACCAGUAUUGUCACAAAAGAUUUUCAUUGGACCCGAUGCACUAGGUAUGACACCUAGAUCGGAUAUGAACUCCUUCAUCCAGACUCCUUCAUUUGCUGCUUCCGAAGCAGCUAUGUACUCCGCUUCACAUCUAGAUCCCGCCACGAUGCUUCGUUUAGAACUGCACCAAUUGACAGCUGCACCGUUCAAUAUAAACAUGUAUCCGGUUUGCGAUUUAGAAUCGUUCGGAUCAGUGUCAAAGCUUGCAUCGACGUAACCAUUUACAACUAGAUCUUUGUCACCUCCAUAAACGAGAAACAUAUCCUUUGUCCUUUUCAGGUAUUUCAGGAUAUUCUUGACCGCUGUCCAGUGAUCCAUUCCUGGAUUACUUUGGUACCUCACUGCUAAACUUAUUGCUAAGCAUACAUCAGGUCUGGUACACAGCAUUGCAUACAUGAUAGAGCCUAUGGAUGAAGCAUAGGGAACCUCUUUCAUUUUCUCUCUAUCUUCUGCUGUAGUCGGGCAUUGAGUCUGACUCAACUUCACACCUUGUAAUACAGGCAAGAACCCUUUCUUUGCUUGAUCCAUUUUGAACCUUUUCAAAACUUUAUCAAGGUAUGUGCUUUGUGAAAGUCCAAUUAAGCGUCUUGAUCGAUCUCUAUAGAUCUUGAUGCCUAAUAUAUAAACAGCUUCACCGAGGUCUGUCAUUGAAUUUUUUUUAUCAAGUAUCCUUUUAUGCUAUCCAGAAAUUCUAUAUCAUUUCCAAUCAACAAUAUGUCGUCUACAUAUAAUAUCAGAAAUGCUACAGAGCUCCCACUCACUUUCUUGUAAAUACAUGCUUCUCAAAAAGUCUGUAUAAAACCAUAUGCUUUGAUCACACUAUCAAAGAGUUUAUUCCAACUCUGAGAGGCUUGCACCAGUCCAUAAAUGGAUCUCUGGAGCUUGCACACUUUGUUAGCACCUUUUGGAUCGACAAAACCUUAUGGUUGCAUCAUAUACAACUCUUCUGCUAGAAAUCCAUUCAGGAAUGCAGUUUUGACAUCCAUUUGCCAUAUUUCAUAAUCAUAAAAUGCGUCAAUUUCUAACAUGAUUCGGACAGACUUAAGCAUCGCUACAGGUGAGAAAGUCUCAUCGUAGUCAACCCCUUGAACUUGUCGAAAACCUUCCGCAACAAGUCGAGCUUUGUAGACAGUAACAUUACCAUCAGCCUCAGUCUUCUUCUUGAAGAUCCAUUUAUUCUCGAUGGCUUGCCGAUCAUCAGGCAAGUCAACCAAAGUCCAUACUUUGUUCUCAUACAUGGAUCCCAUCUCAGAUUUCAUGGUCCCAAGCCAUUUUGCAGAAUCUGGGCUCAUCAUCGCUUCCUCAUAGUUUGUAGGUUCGCCAUGGUCAAGUAACAUGACCUCCAGAAUAGGAUUACCGUACCACUCUGGUGCGGAUCUUACUCUGGUUGACCUACGAGGUUCGGUAGUAACUCGAUCUGAAGUUUCAUGAUCAAUAUCAUUAGCUUCCUCACUAAUUGGUGUAGUCAUCACAGGAACUGGUUUCUGUGAUGAACUACUUUCCAAUAAGGGAGCAGGUACAGUUACCUCAUCAAGUUCUACUUUCCUCCCACUCACUUCUUUCGAGAGAAAGUCCUUCUCUAGAAAGGAUCCAAAUUUAGCAACAAAAGUCUUGUCUUCCAAUCUGUGAUAGAAGGUGUACCCAAUAGUCUCGUUUGGGUACCUAUGAAGACACAUUUCUCCGAUUUGGGUUCGAGCUUAUCAGUUUGAAGUUUUUUCACAUAAGCAUCGCAGCCCCAAACUUUAAGAAACGACAACUUUGGUUUCUUGCCAAACCAUAGUUCAUAAGGCGUCAUCUCAACGGAUUUUGAUGGUGCCCUAUUUAACGUGAAUGCGGCCAUCUCUAAAGCAUAACCCCGAAACGAUAGCGGUAAAUCAGUAAGAGACAUCAAGAUCGCACCAUAUCUAGUAAAGUAUGAUUACGACGUUCGGACACACCAUUACGUUGUGGUGUUCCGGGUGGCGUGAGUUGCGAAACUAUUCCGCAUUGUUUCAAAUGUAAACCAAACUCGUAACUCAAAUAUUCUCCUCCACGAUCAGAUUGUAGAAACUUUACUUUCUUGUUACGAUGAUUUUCCACUUCACUCUGAAAUUCUUUGAACUUUUCAAAUGUUUCACACUUAUGUUUCAUUAAGUAGAUAUAUGCAUAUCUGCUCAAAUCAUUUGUGAAGGUGAGAAAAUAACGAUACCCGCCGCGAGCCUCAAUGUUCAUUAGACCACACACAUCAGUAUGUAUGAUUUCCAACAAAUCUGUUGCUCGCUCCAUAGUUCCGGAGAACGACGUUUUAGUCAUCUUUCCCAUGAGGCACGGUUCGCAAGUACCAAGUGAUUCAUAAUCAAGUGAUUCCAGAAGUCCAUCAGUAUGGAGUUUCUUCAUACGCUUUACACUAAUAUGACCCAAACGGCAGUGCCACAAAUAAGUUGCACUAUAAUUAUCAACUCUGCAUCUUUUGGCUUCAACAUUAUGAAUAUGUGUAUCACUACUAUCGAGGUUCAAUAAAAAUAGACCACUCUUCAAGGGUGCAUGACCAUAAAAGAUAUUACUCAUAUAAAUAGAACAACAAUUAUUCUCUGAUUUAAAUGAAUAACCGUCUCGCAUGAAACAAGAUCCAGAUAUAAUGUUCACGCUUAACACUGGCACCAAAUAACAAUUAUUCAGGUCUAAAAUUAAUCCCAAAGGUAGAUGUAGAGGUAGCGUGCCGACUGCGAUCACAUCGACUUUGGAACCAUUUUCCAUGCGCAUCGUCACCUCGUCCUUAGUCAAUCUUCGCUUAAUCCGUAGUCCUUGUUUCGAGUUGCAAAUAUUAGCAAUAGAACAAGUAUCAAAUACCCAGGUGCUACUGCGAGCAUUAGUAAGGUACACAUCAAUAACAUGUAUAUCACAUAUACCUUUGUUCACCUUGCCAUCCUUCUUAUCCGCCAAAUACUUAGGGCAGUUCCGCUUCCAGUGACUAGUCUGCUUGAAGUAGAAGCACUCAGUCUCAGGCUUAGGUCCAGACUUGGGUUUCUUCUCUUGAGCAGCAACUUGUUUGCCGUUCUUCUUGAAGUUCCCCUUCUUCUUCCCUUUACCCUUUUUCUUGAAACUGGUGGUCUUGUUGACCAUCAACACUUGAUGCUCCUUUUUGAUUUCUACCUCCGCAGCUUUUAGCAUUGCGAAGAGCUUGGGAAUAGUCUUGUUCAUCCCUUGCAUAUUAUAGUUCAUCACGAAGCUGUUGUAGCUUGGUGGCAGUGAUUGAAGAAUUCUGUCAAUGACACUAUCAUCAGGAAGAUUAACUCCCAGUUGAAUCAAGUGAUUGCAAUACCCAGACAUUUUGAGUAUAUGUUCACUGACAGAACUAUUCUCCUCCAUCUUGCAGCUAUAGAACUUAUUGGAGACUUCAUAUCUCUCAAUCCGAGCAUUUGCUUGAAAUAUUAACUUCAUCUCCUGGAACAUCUCAUAUGCUCCAUGACGUUCAAAAUGUCGUUGAAGUCUCGACUCUAAGCCGUAAAGCAUGACACACUGAACUAUAGAGUAGUCAUCAACACGCGACUGCCGGGCAUUCACAAUGUCUGUAGUUGCUGGCGCAGGUGGUACACCUAGCGGUGCUUCCAGGACGUAACUCUUCUAUGCAGCAAUGAGGAUAAUCCUCAAGUUACGGACCCACUCCGUGUAAUUGCUACUAUCAUCUUUCAACUUAGCUUUCUCAAGGAACACAUUAAAAUUUAACGGAACAACAACACGAGCCAUCUAUCUACAACAAACAUAGACAAGCAAAAUACUAUUAGGUACUAAGUUCAUGAUAAAUUUAAGUUCAAUUAAUCAUAUUACUUAAGAACUCCCACUUAGAUAGACAUCUCUUUAAUCAUCUAAGUGAUCACGUGAUCCAAAUCAACUAAACCAUGUCCGAUCAUCACGUGAGAUGGAGUAGUUUUCAAUGGUGAACAUCACUAUGUUGAUCAUAUCUACUAUAUGAUUCACGCUCGACCUUUCGGUCUCAGUGUUCCGAGGCCAUAUAUGUAUAUGCUAGGCUCAUCAAGUUUAACCUGAGUAUUCCGUGUGUGCAACUGUUUUGCACCCGUUGUAUUUGAACAUAGAGCCUAUCACACCCGAUCAUCACAUGGUGUCUCAGCACAAAGAACUUUCGCAACGGUGCAUACUCAGGGAGAACACUUAUACCUUGAAAUUUAGUGAGAGAUCAUCUUAUAAUGCUACCGUCAAUCAAAGCAAAAUAAGAUGCAUAAAGGAUAAACAUCACAUGCAAUCAAUAUAAGUGAUAUGAUAUGGCCAUCAUCAUCUUGUGCUUGUGAUCUCCAUCUCCGAAGCACCGUCCUGAUCACCAUCAUCACCGGCGCGACACCUUGAUCUCCAUCAUAGCAUCGUUGUCGUUUUGCCACCUAUUGCUUCUACGACUAUCGCUACCGCUUAGUGAUAAAGUAAAGCAAUUACAGGGCGAUUGCAUUGCAUAUAAUAAAGCGACAACCAUAUGGCCCCUGCCAGUUGCCGAUAACUCGGUUACAGAACAUGAUCAUCUCAUACAAUAAAAUAUAGCAUCAUGCCUUGACCAUAUCACAUCACAACAUGCCCUGUAAAAACAAGUUAGACGUCCUCUACUUUGUUGUUGCAAGUUUUACGUGGCUGCUACGGGCUGAGCAAGAACCGUUCUUACCUACGCAUCAAAACCACAAUGAUAGUUCGUCAAGUUAGUGCUAUUUUAACCUUAUCAAGGACCGGGCGUAGCCACACUCGGUUCAACUAAAGUUGGAGAAACUGACACCCGCCAGCCACCUAUGUGCAAAGCACGUCAAUAGAACCAGUCUCGCGUAAGCGUACACGUAAUGUCGGUCUGGGCCGCUUCAUCCAACAAUACCGCCGAACCAAAGUAUGACAUGCUGUUAAGCAGUAUGACUUGUAUCACCCACAACUCACUUGUGUUCUACUCGUGCAUAUAACAUCUACGCAUAAAACCAGGCUCGGAUGCCACUGUUGGGGAACGUAGUAAUUUCAAAAAAAUUCCUACGCACACGCAAGAUCAUGGUGAUGCAUAGCAACGAGAGGGGAGAGUGUGUGUCCACAUACCCUCGUAGACCGAAAGCGGAAGCGUUAGCAAAACGCGGUUGAUGUAGUCGUACAUCUUCACGAUCCGACCGAUCAAGUUCCGAGCGCACAACACCUCCGAGUUCAGCACACGUUCAGCUUAAUGACGUCCCUCAAACUCCGAUCUAGCCGAGCUUUGAGGGAGAUUUCCGUCAGCACGAUGGCGUGGUGACGAUGAUAAUGUUCUAUCGAUGCAGGGCUUCGCCUAAGCACCGCUACGAUUAUCGAGGUGGAUUAUGGUGGAGGGGGCACCACACACGGCUAAGAGAUCCAAGGGAUCAAUUGUCAUGUCUAUGGGGUGCCCCCCUCCCCCGUAUAUAAAGGAGUUGAGGAGGGGGGCGGCCAGGAGGAGCUGGCGCGCCCAAGGGGGAGUCCUACUCCCACCGGGAGUAGGACUCCUCCUUUUCCUAUCUGGAGAGGGAGAGGGAAGGAAGAGGAAGGAGGGAGGAAGGAAAGGGGGGCCGGCCCCCCAAUUCGGAUUGGGCUUGGGGGGGGGGCCUCCCUUGCUCCUUUCCCCUCCUUUCCACUAAAGCCCAUUAAGGCCCAUAUACCUCCCGGGGGGUUCCGAUAACCUCCCGGAGCUCCGGUAUUGUCCCAAUCUCACCCGGAACCAUUCUGGUGUCCAAAUAUAGUCGUCCAAUAUAUCGAUCUUUAUGUCUCGACCAUUUCGAGACUCCUCGUCAUGUCCGUGAUCACAUCCGGGACUCUGAACUAUCUUCAGUACAUAAAACACAUAAACUCAUAAUAUAACCGUCAUCGAACUUUAAGCGUGCGGACCUACGGUUUCGAGAACUAUGUAGACAUGACCGAGACUCAUCUCCGGUCAAUAACCAAUAGCGGAACCUGGAUGCUCAUAUUGGCUCCCACAUAUUCUACGAAGAUCUUUAUCGGUCAAACCGCAUAACAACAUACGUUGUUCCCUUUGUCAUCGGUAAGUUACUUGCCCGAGAUUCGAUCAUCGGUAUCUCAAUACCUAGUUCAAUCUCGUUACUGGAAAGUCUCUUUACUCGUGAUGUAAUGUAUCAUCCCGCAACUAACUCAUUAGCUACAUUGCUUGCAAGGCUUAUAGUGAUGUACAUUACCGAGAGGGCCCAGAGAUACCUCUCCGACAAUCGGAGUGACAAAUCCUAAUCUCGAAAUACACCAACUCAACAUGUACCUUUGGAGACACCUGUAGAACUCCUUCAUGACCACCCAGUUAUGUUGUGACAUUUGGUAGCACACAAAGUGUUCCUCCGGUAAACAAGAGUUGCAUAAUAUCAUAGUUGUAGGAACAUGUAUAAGUCAUGAAGAAAGCAAUAGCAACAUACUAAAACGAUCAAGUGCUAAGCUAAUGAAAUGGGUCAAGUCAAUCACAUCAUUCUCCUAAUGAUGUGAUCCCGUUAAUCAAAUGACAACUCAUGUCUAUGGUUAGGAAACACAACCAUCUUUGAUCAACGAGCUAGUCAAGUAGAGGCAUACUAGUGACACUAUGUUUGUAUAUGUAUUCACACAUGUAUUAUGUUUACGGUUAAUACAAUUCUAGCAUGAAUAAUAAACAUUUAUCAUGAUAUAAGGAAAUAAAUAAUAACUUUAUUAUUCCAUCUAGGGCAUAUUUCCUUCAACUGCAAGCAUUCACCCGAUCAGGUUUCUAUUCAUUUUUGUUAGAUCCGUCGAUGAAGAAAACAACACAUUUCAAGAUAUGAUGGUUUAGGUACUUCAAGUUUUGUUGUACUCUGUCAUUUGCCUUUGUGGGAACGACACUGCUCUAUUGCUUGCUUAUUUAAGAUCAUGGCAAUCAUUUUAUCUAGCAUAUCUGUUUCUAAUUUUCUCCCCUUAUUGUUGCAGGUUAGAGUGCAGCUUUCAGAUAACUUCUUUAUUUAGGAUAGUUGGAAUACUAUGACUAGAUAUAGAAG
RNAcentral lists this long non-coding RNA (10305 nucleotides) under Triticum aestivum (bread wheat). RNAcentral's name for it is "long non-coding RNA (TAES_LNC023214)". The record is from RNAcentral. Lineage: Eukaryota; Viridiplantae; Streptophyta; Magnoliopsida; Poales; Poaceae.